RNA transcript from Daucus carota subsp. sativus, 3920 nucleotides. It is a transcript of the gene named protein S-acyltransferase 24, with no coding region annotated. Lineage: Eukaryota; Viridiplantae; Streptophyta; Magnoliopsida; Apiales; Apiaceae. The record is from RefSeq and is a predicted model, not a curated record. The transcript has 7 exons.
UAACUCGUCAGUCACCGCCUCUCUUCAUCAUCUAAUCUAGAUCUAUAUUUUUAUCCUUCACUAUCUUCUCUGAAUCUAGAUCUAUAUCGAUCUUUCAUCAUUUUCUAGUUGGCUACGAUCUAUAUCGUUUAAAAAAAAUUCACCCCCAUUUUCAAAAUCACCUUCUAAUGCGAUGAUUGUUCUGUGAUUACAUCUUUAGUGACACUUCUAAUAUUAUUCAUUGCGAUUUAGGGCCAAUUAAUUAGAAAUCUCUCAAAUUUUUUUCGGAUUUGUAUGAAGUCUUCAUUUAUUCUUGCAAAACACACAGCACCACGUAUUAGAAAUAAUGAAGAAAAUGCUCCACAACAACUUUAUCUUUCUCCACCACAAUCGCAUAUGAUAUUCGGCCACACUGAUUCAUGAAUAGACGUGGGCAGUAGUAGCUGUGUGUGGAAGGUUGAAAGAGCAGGUGAUGCUGAUCCAAUCCCCUAUACGAAGUGGCUUAUCAGUCUUGGAAGAUGAUAUAUACGAAGUGGAGAAUUCAAAAGACGUCCUUCUUUACUCGAUCGAAUUCAUCUAUCUAUCUAUAUUAUAAAGGCUGUUGCCAAAAUACCAUUGAAAUGACUACUUUACCCAGCCGUAUCUACCGUAUUAUCAAAUCUGCCACUGAGUUAUACUUCUUCCCAUACGUUUAUCACAUCCAAGCCGCUCAUUCCAUCUGUAUACUCCCACGUGUUGGUCAUCCCUCUCUCGUAUUUUGGGGCUUCUCAGCUGUGGUUGUCUAUGCUUUAAUUGAUGGAACCCGGUGAUGGGUCUGAUUUAAAUGCUGGUGAUGGGGUAAAGUUUCCGCCCCUUCUUGCUUCUUGCCGCUUUGAUUGAGCUUCGAUAUGCGCUGCUCAUUCAUCCUGGACGAGAUGUCGCCUUAAAUCAUGUAAUACAUCCGAACUUUUCGAAACUCAUUCCGAUUGUUACAGUUAAAUCUUCUUCUCCCCCUUUAAUUCUUGCCUGCUUUUUAGUCUAAUCCGAAACGACUCCAUUGAUUGUAUCAGUUCUUUGUUUUUGUAGUGUUUCAGAUGUAGUUUUUACAUAAGACUCUUAUUGUUGUUUCACUAUAUUUGUCGAUGGAGUUGAUUGUUGCAAAUCUUCGUUGUCCUCAUGGUUAUGUAUUUCCCACAUUCUUAUCUUUUUUAAUAAUGAUCUUAUCUUCUUCGAUUUGUAAUUGUUGGAUAUCAUGCAUAUAUCUGUAACAUGUUGGUAAUAGUGGAAGGAGUACAGGACACUGCUGCAUUAAAUAGGUCUAUAUCAAUUGUAAUUCACUUUUUUAAACUGUGUUAGUUGGAUAAUGCACUCUCACAUCCAGGAAUGGUAUGCGGUCCCGUUCUGGAUUUUUGAGUUUGGAUAUUCUUUAUUUUCAAGGAACUGGCAGUAAGUAAACUUGACUUAACUAUUAGUUUAUAAUCGUUUGCCUCAAGUUGUAUAUAUGUAUUUGUCUCUCUUUAAACUCGAGAAAUGUUUUACUUUGCAUUUGGAAAAGAAUACUUGCUUUAUGUAACUACAAGGUUGGGAAAAACUACUUAAGCACAGAAUGAAAGCAAGAACUAAUCACAUUUUUGGAGUUUCUCGAGAGGAUUCGGAUCAAUGACAGUACUUCUUCAGUCUCUACUUUCAAGCAUGCAUAUCUUCUGAUGUGUAUAAGUUGUUGUAUAGAAUUCUUGCAUUACAUGUAAGUUAGGUACUUAAGUCUGCAGUCUCACUUUUCUUAUUAUAAUCAUUAAUGCAGAUACCUGGGUUACAGAAGGACAUUGUUGUCCCAUACUACUGUUAUACUGGUGGUGGGAGCUUAGGCCGAUUAAUGCUUGGUUCAGUCCUGCUGGGAAGUUGACACCAUUGCACCAUGAUCCACAUCAUAAUAUACUGGCUCAGGUGAGGAUGGAAUCGUCUGAAAAGUUUUGUAAUUUUCUGUGACCCAUCUCUGUUUUUGAUACCUCUACCUGUUAUAAUUUUGUAUGAGAUUUUGUUGUCUAUUUGUUGUUUGCUCCUGUAAUUAGUCUUCUUUGCCUGUAUUUUUAAUUAGGUAAAGAUGAGUUUGCUUUUGGCCAUGUUAAUUCUGACCACAUGACCACCCAUGAAGUUGUUCUGGAUUAUUUCAUCUAUUAAUUUUAUUCAUUUAAUAGAAUUAUUAAUUUUGUGCUGCCUCUUAUAAUGAAUUGAUUCACCUUACAACUUGAAAAUAUGGUGAUGUGUUAAAAAAAAAAAAAGGUUGUCUGUGAGUGUGUAGACAUGUUUGAUUUAUUCAUUUUUGUAAUUCAUUGACUGUUUCCCACCUUAUUAGUCUAAUCUGAAAUGCCUCCUUUCGUUGUGAAAAAGCUUUGUUUCUUUGUAGAGAUUUGAGCAUUUAACAGGCUAUUUGGACAAAUACCAGAUUCAAUUCAGCCGUGGGAGUCCAGUCUAAACCGUUUGCUGAGAUCUGUAGGAAUAUUGCAAUGCAAUUCUAUAAUGAAAACAUGUUAAAUUUUAGUGCCGGGAAGAAAAUUUGAGACAUGUUCUUUUCAGGUUCUGCGGCUUUGGAGAUGAAAAAGAAUAGUUUGCAUACUGAAUAUUUGCCAAUCCAGAUGCAUCUAUUCUUGAACCUAACGAGGAUGGCUUAUGGAGAGUGGACCCCGAAUAGUAGGAAUUCUUAUAAUAAAUAUGAUGCUAUACUGAGCUACAUUACACAGCAUGGGGGAGAUGUGAAUGCUGCAGAUCAUACUGGACAAACAGCAUUACACUGGAGUGCGGUGCGGGGAGCUGUUCAGGUUGCAGAGAUCUUGCUCCAAGAGGGUGCCAGUGUUGGUGCUCCUGAUAUGUAUGGAUAUCACACCUUGAAAGAAAAGCUUUCAGCAGAGACUCAUUGCCAAUAUUUCUGAAAGAUGAUGGACACAGCUGGAGUUGAUAUGUUGCCGUUACAUUGUUAUAAUUGUUGACAUCUCCGGUUUCUUUAAUUUCUGGAUGGCUGCUCAAGUUGGCAAAGCCCGUAAAAAGGAUUUAUUUUAUCUGUAUACAUCUCUUUCAGGUUUUUUUUCUAUCAUUUCAGUCGAUAAUGUGCAUAUGAUAUUGUGAAUAAAAUUUGCAGGUAUAAGGUUGCUCUACCUGCAAUGUAUGCUUUAGAAUCAGAAAAUGAAAAUGCUAAUCUCUUUAACUGUGUUCAGGUCACUGACUGUGUUAAAUGGUGAAGAGAGGUCACCAGAACUCCAUGGAGUGGAUGCCUUUGUUCUUGAUAUUCAUGACGUUGGGAGGGAUUAAGUACCCUGUCAUCUCCUCAGUUCUUGGUAUUGUUUAUAUUGUUAGUUUUUAUUUCUAUUUAAAAGGAUAUUCCACUGACGAUCCUAAGAAGCCUCUAUCUGUCGGGUAAAUCUGAAUGAUUUCCACCUGUAUAAUAAGAAGAUAUAUUCUUUGAUUUGGUUAUUUAAAUAUAUGUUUUGAAAUAUAUAUACCUGCAACAAUUAUUUACCUAACAUGCUAAAUUAUACAGGUUCGAUAAUGUUAGUGUUAGGAAUCUAUGAACCUUUGACAUGUGUUAUAUCUAUCUACUUUACGUAUCCUGUUGCCUCUUUUUGUAUAAGAAGUCCAUGCCAAGUUUAAUGUGAUCACUACUUUUUGGGGAACAACAUUUUUUUUUGUGUUCAAUUUUUGUGUUAUCAUAGGUUCACCUUGAGUGAAAAGAUUUUAACUAAUGAUGUAGAUUUUCUUCAGAUUGCAGAGUGAACCUCAUUUACAGGCCUUUACUUCAACAACAUGAAGUAGAAGAAACAUAAGUGCCAGACAAACAAGAACGUGUAUCAAGGCUUUUAUGUUUCUUGAUUAAAAUAACUAUUUUGUUUCAUUUUUGAAAUUAUUUUGAUAUGUAUAAAUUGAUACAAAACUUUGUUACAACGUUAAUUUAUUUUUAACUUUUAAACUCA